Lemur catta (Ring-tailed lemur) is the source of this 496-nucleotide long non-coding RNA. RefSeq lists it as uncharacterized. The record is from RefSeq and is a predicted model, not a curated record. NCBI's taxonomy places the organism in Eukaryota, Metazoa, Chordata, Mammalia, Primates, Lemuridae. The transcript has 3 exons.
CUUACCCCCCACAGCAGCAAGUCUGUAUCCCGGCAGGAGGAAGGGAAAGAGUGGACAGCCGCAGACAUCCACCCCUCUUCAGGAGAUUUUCUGGAAGCCCUCCCCAGCAUCUUCAUUUAACUGGCAAACUGUUUCAUAUGGCCACUCCCAUCUGAAAGGAAGGAAGCCUCCGUGAAUAAGAAACCUCAAGAAUGAAACACUUAAUUAUAACCAAACAUGGAGCAAACAAAGGAACAAUGGCUGAGCUGGGCUGUUUCAUAUGAAUCCUGCCUACAAAAGGAGGUGAUGAAAUGGAGACCUAGAAAGGCUUGGUAUCUUGUCUCAAAUCACACAGCUAAGAAGGAGCAAAGCCAGAUUCGAACUUGGGAAGUCUUACAGAACUGGAACCUUAACACUGUGUUCUAAUACAUAUCCUCAAAUGGAAUAGAAGCACGACAUGUGAUGAUAAACUCUCUGCUGCCAAACUCGUUGGUUUGGGAUAUUGUGACUAGGGAAA